This is a long non-coding RNA of Gallus gallus (chicken), 1732 nucleotides long. The record is from Ensembl. Lineage: Eukaryota; Metazoa; Chordata; Aves; Galliformes; Phasianidae.
AAGUAUUCUAAAAAAUAAGUAAUAAUCGUUUCCCAAACCUGGGAACCCCAGGCUGAUAUCUGAGAGCUGUGGGCUGUUGCAUGACUGUGCUAGAUUUUAGUCUGAGUUGAUCUUUUUAAGAAACAGGAAAAAAAAAAAAAAGCAUAAAAAAACUGCAAGUGUUGAAUCCUAGAGGUUUGUUUAGACCUUUUAUCUAUUUUAUUUUAUUUUUAAUUUGAAAUUAAUUUGUCACUUUCUUGUCCAGAAGAAAGAAAGAAAGAAAAAGAAAAGACUUCAGUGGUUGACAUUUCCAGUAUGGUACUCGGAGAGCCUUAAAGGACAGCUGUGUGCCAGGAGCCUCACUGGGACAGAACCCUCGUGGGGGUCCCCAAAUGGCACAGCUCAUGGGGCCAGCAUGGUGGGAGCUCCAGCAGUGCCACAGUUGGGUUUGGUGCAGGUGUGGUGUGAGGUCAGCCUGAGGUUCUGGCACCCCUGUGCAGCCCCUGCGAUCCUGAGGUCCCACUGCAGCGGUAAGAGUGUCUGAGGAAUCUUUGGUGGCUGUUGGUGGAGCUGAGCACGGGGUAUUUUGGUGAUGGUUUGGAGAUGGUGGGACUCUCUCUGUUGCUGGUUGGAGAGGAUGGAGGUUUUUGUCUGAGCCUUCUCAAAUUUUCUGGAAGCACUGGUGAGAGCAGAGGCUCACCGGGCUGCUGUAGUGCUGCAGCACAUCCUUGGCUAUGCUGGGUAGCCAUGUUGGAUGGCUCUCAUGGCCCUGGGGUAGUCCACAGGGAGGUCUCUGGAGGGCUGUGCUAGGCAGGGUAGUAGUGUCACAACGUUGCUGGGCUCUCAGGGCUCCUCUUGGCUUCCUCUGCCUCCACUGCCAGGCUCUUCUCACCCCGUCCUGUGUCCCCCAUCCCAUGCAAUGAGGAGAGUCCGCAGUGCGGUUCUGGGGAUGGGCUGAUGUCUUCCUCCUGAGGGGGCUUUGGGGCUUUUGGAGCUUUUGGGCUCCACCCAAGGACCCCUUCUGGGGUCCCCUCGCUGCUGGUCCCGGGUGCCUCCAUGGCAGAUGGUUGCAGCUGGGGGACGUGUUGCAGUGCAGCCUGCAGCCCCUGCUGCUCCUUGGUGCUACCUUUGCCUUUCGCCUGAUGCCCAGUGUCCUUAAUCCUGCAGGCAGCCUGUUACCCCUGCCUGGGGGAGAGGCUAGGAGGCAUCACAGGAUGUCCCAUAUCAGUGACACUACACGUGCCCCCAUCUUGCGUUUUGGGGAUGGAGCAUGGAGGAGGCCAAACCCCACCAGCUGCCGGCAGGCCCCUGCCUGCCCCUGCUGCUCACAUUGCCUUUUCAGUGGGAGGUUCCCAAAAACACAGCCUGGCCUGGAAGUGUCCCCAGGCCCCUCGUCCCCAUCCUGUGCAUCAGGGUGGGGAGCAGGGGGUGACCCCCAGGCUCACCCUGCCCCAAAGCGCACAAUGAGCUGUCCUUUAAGAAAGCAGGGGUGGGAACUAAUGCAAAGCUGGUGAAAGGCAGAGAGUUUUAAUAGUUUUAAAAAAUUAAACGGGGAGGAAAAAAGAAAAAUGAGAAUCCGGAGUCCUUGAUUAACUUUCUGUGAUGAUUGUUUCAGACUUGAAGCAACAGGCCGGCGUGGCUGGCCGCACACCCUUUGAUCGUGUAAAUAUCCUGCUAUUUCCUAUUUUAAUGUUCUUCAGAUUUAGUACUUGUAAAUAAACACACGCAUCAAGGAGAGAUUAAACAUUUUUGC